This is a non-coding RNA of Pelobates cultripes (western spadefoot toad), 2149 nucleotides long. NCBI's taxonomy places the organism in Eukaryota, Metazoa, Chordata, Amphibia, Anura, Pelobatidae. The record is from the annotation of a GenBank genome assembly.
CUCCUCUUUGUAUGUCAUAUGUGGGGGGCAGACUACCCCAUUUUAUCGAAGCUUGGCACAGACUAACAUUGGAUGUUUGGGUCCUAAAUACCAUUCUAGGUUAUUGGAUAGAGUUUGUGCAAACCCCAAUCCAAACCUCAGUGCCACGUUGGAUGGUGUUUUCCCAACAGGACAGGGACCUAGUAGUGAAGGAAAUCAGAGUACUACAAGGGAAAGGCGUGAUCUACCAAGUUCUGCCUUGCUCUCCCGGUUUCCUGAGCAACCUCUUCUUUAUGCCCAAAAAGGGCGGUGGUGAGAGGCCGGUUAUAAACUGCCUUCGGGACCUCCUCAGGUUGGAUGGUCAAACUCGACCUCUCACUAUCCCGAUAGCAGAGGAGUGUCACCAACUCCUUCAGUUUCAAUGAGACAAGAGAACGUGGAGGUUCCGGUGUCUCCCCUUUGGGCUGUCGUCUGCCCCAUUCACCAAGCUGCUGAAACCCGUGGUCGCCCUCCUGCACAGCAGAGUUGUCCGCAUAAUCAUAUACUUAGACGAUAUGCUGAUCAUGGCACACAAUGCUCACCUACAACGACAGCACCUCUCAUGAGCAUUAUCCUUCCUGAACAACUUAGGAUUCCUGAUCAACUGGGAAAAGUCAGUACUAAAUCCCUCCCAGUCUAUGGAAUUCUUGGGAUUCAGCAUAGAGGCGGUAGACGGGAUCCUCAGCCUUUCGCCCGCAAAGGUCAAACUCAUCAAGAAGAAAAUCCAUAGGACCUUGGCUCGCCCAGUGUUAACCUUGAGACAACUGUCCAGGAUAAUCGGCCUCUUCUGAGCCUCCAACCAUCUUCCCGGGGCCUCUUCACUACAGGGCCCUUCAAAGACUACAGGCCACACAAUUACGCUUUGGUCGCUCCUUCUCUGACUCCGUUCCACUCGACUACACAGCCAAGGAGGAACUCACCUGGUGGCUGCAACAUAUAGAACGGCAGAGCGAUCUUUGGGACCGCCGUGGAUUGUAUCAUAGAAUCCGACGUGAGCACACGCGGUUGGGGAACGAAUUGUGGUUCUAUCUCCACAGGUGUAAAAUGGUCCCAAUCAGAAAAAGAGCUGUACAUCAACGGCCUGGAACUCAUGGCGGAAUCAUUCGCCCUAAAGAACCUCAUCGGUCUCGCGACCAAUUGCUCCAUUAUUCUGCGAGUGGACAAUAUAUCGGCAGUCCGUUACACCAACCACCUGGGCUGCACUAGAUCCAAGAUACUGGCGGACCUAGCCACGGAAUUCUGGCAAUAUUGUCUGGAGCGCAAUAUAUAUUUUUAAGCAGAAUACAUUCCAGGUCUGUCCAAUACAAGACCAGAUUGGAAUUCCAGACAUCUACGAGUUACCAGCGACUGGAGUCUGGACCGUGAUGCCUUCCUACAACUGCAAACGCUCUGGGGCCCAAUGUAUAUCGACAUGUUCGCGGCUCUAUAGAAUUCCCAACUCCUGGUGUUCUUCAGUUGGAGGCCGGACAUAGAUGCUCUAGCAAUAGAUGCCUUCCUCCAGUCGUGGCCAGACAGGCGACUUUAUGCAUUUCCUCCUUUCGCCCUACUGGCUAAGACAUUAGUACACCUCAGCCGUUCUCGGAUGUCUUUGGUUCUCAUAACCCCAUUCUGGACAGCACAGCCUUGGUUCCCCUCACUCAUGGAGAUGUCUAUAGAUGUUCCCAGACUGCUCCCCGAAUCAACGCAUCUCCUAUUGGAUCCCGAUGGAAACCACACCCUCUUCUGGUACAGGGACAACUCAGAUUAGCGUGGCUCCUCUCCGGGGACCCUGGGUCGUGCCAGACGUGUCACAAUCAACUCUCAAAUUACUGGGAGCCUGGGCCCCUGGAACAAGACGAUCCUACGGUCAUUUAUGGAACUUAUGGAGUUUUGAACUUAUAUGAACUUAUAUGAUUCCGUAUGUGCUCCUGUGAACUGCCUAUUGCGUUUCCUUACGUACCUAUACAACCAAGGUCUGGCCUAUCGCACUAUUAAUGUCGAGACAUCGUGAACUAGAGGGCUCUCCAGCAGUUAAACAUCUUCUGGUGUGUCGACUCCUACGUGGCAUUAGAUUUGCAUGACCACCUCAACCUCGAUAUAAGUCAGCAUGGGAUGUGAACCUGGUUCUGACCUUACUAGAAACCUGGCCACG